RNAcentral lists this ribosomal RNA (253 nucleotides) under uncultured bacterium. RNAcentral describes it as "partial 16S ribosomal RNA". It matches the Rfam family "Bacterial small subunit ribosomal RNA", at positions 524 to 776 of the family's 1533-position model. The record is from RNAcentral.
UACGAGGGGGGCGAGCGUUGUUCGGAAUUAUUGGGCGUAAAGGGCGCGUAGGCGGUCGGAUAAGUCUUGUGUGAAAUCUUCGGGCUCAACUCGAAGUCUGCACAGGAAACUAUCUGGCUUGAGUGUGGGAGAGGUGAGUGGAAUUCCUGGUGUAGCGGUGAAAUGCGUAGAUAUCAGGAGGAACACCUGUGGCGAAGGCGGGUCUCUGGGCAGUAACUGACGCUGAGGAGCGAAAGCGUGGGGAGCGAACAGG